Molecule: ribosomal RNA, 137 nt
Filed under: Cebus imitator (Panamanian white-faced capuchin)
Lineage: Eukaryota; Metazoa; Chordata; Mammalia; Primates; Cebidae
Source: RNAcentral
CUAUACGGCCAUACCACCCUGAACUGAACGCGCCCGAUCUCGUCUGAUCUCAGAAGCUAAGCAGGUUCGGGCCUGGUUAGUACUUGGAUGGAAGAAAUUAUUUUUUACUAAUACACAUACAUAAUGUGCUGGACACU